RNAcentral lists this ribosomal RNA (206 nucleotides) under uncultured bacterium. RNAcentral describes it as "partial 16S ribosomal RNA". It matches the Rfam family "Bacterial small subunit ribosomal RNA", at positions 568 to 774 of the family's 1533-position model. The record is from RNAcentral.
UGCGUAGGCGGUUUUCUAAGUCACGUGUGAAAUCUUCUGGCUCAACCAGAAAACUGCGCGUGAAACUAGUUAACUUGAGUGAGGUAGGGGUGUGUGGAACUUCCGGUGGAGCGGUGAAAUGUGUAGAGAUCGGAAGGAACGCCAGCAGCGAAAGCGGCACACUGGGCCUUUUCUGACGCUGAGGCACGAAAGCUAGGGGAUGAACG